GGAAUGUGGCUUAGUGGUAGAGUGCUUGCCUAGUAUGCAUGAAGCCCUGGGUUCAAUUCCUCAGUACCA
RNAcentral lists this transfer RNA (69 nucleotides) under Dipodomys ordii (Ord's kangaroo rat). It matches the Rfam family "tRNA". Rfam says of the family: Transfer RNA (tRNA) molecules are approximately 80 nucleotides in length. Their secondary structure includes four short double-helical elements and three loops (D, anti-codon, and T loops). The record is from Rfam by way of RNAcentral. Lineage: Eukaryota; Metazoa; Chordata; Mammalia; Rodentia; Heteromyidae.